UUCCUUUUCUGGUAAUUAUCAAUGUGCUGAUGAGCAGAUAGCUGAUGGGCAUGUUAUAUGGCAAGGGAGUGAUGCAACUCAUGUUGGAAGAAGAUGUCGCUCUCCUAACACUAGUUGGUUGCUCCAAGGAAAUGUUUUGACAAAUCUUGACUAUGCCAACAGACCUGGAGCUGAUGUUGUUAAUGAUGAAUACGAGAACAACAGAUUGACGAAAGUUCUUCAUUCUGAUACCAGAAAUUCCAG
RNAcentral lists this unclassified non-coding RNA (243 nucleotides) under Hevea brasiliensis (rubber tree). Lineage: Eukaryota; Viridiplantae; Streptophyta; Magnoliopsida; Malpighiales; Euphorbiaceae. The record is from RNAcentral.